RNAcentral lists this transfer RNA (129 nucleotides) under Thermoproteus sp. RNAcentral describes it as "tRNA-OTHER". The record is from RNAcentral. Lineage: Archaea; Thermoproteati; Thermoproteota; Thermoprotei; Thermoproteales; Thermoproteaceae.
GCCGCCGUAGCUAAGCCCGGUAUAGCGGCGGUCCCCACGGGGGCUGAUGCUGUUAAGGCGAGCGCCGCAGACACCCGUAGGUCCCGGGAGGGGAAUCCCCCGGGAAUUCGAAUCCCGGCGGCGGCGCCA